UGUAAUCUGGCAGAUGAAUGCGUUAGAGUUAGGUUCUUUUUAUGGAUACGUGGUGUCCGAUUAUAU
RNAcentral lists this transfer RNA (66 nucleotides) under Mytilisepta keenae. RNAcentral describes it as "tRNA-Leu". Lineage: Eukaryota; Metazoa; Mollusca; Bivalvia; Mytilida; Mytilidae. The record is from RNAcentral.